This 511-nucleotide ribosomal RNA is filed under the name uncultured Glomus. Its description in RNAcentral is "SSU rRNA". It matches the Rfam family "Eukaryotic small subunit ribosomal RNA", at positions 569 to 1081 of the family's 1831-position model. The record is from RNAcentral. Lineage: Eukaryota; Fungi; Glomeromycota; Glomeromycetes; Glomerales; Glomeraceae.
AGCAGCCGCGGUAAUUCCAGCUCCAAUAGCGUAUAUUAAAGUUGUUGCAGUUAAAAAGCUCGUAGUUGAAUUUCGGGAUCAGUACGCUGGUCAUGCCUUUGGUAUGCACUGGUGUCACUGGUUUCUCCCUUCUGAAGAACCGUGAUGUCAUUAAUUUGGUGUCGCGGGGAAUCAGGACUGUUACUUUGAAAAAAUUAGAGUGUUUAAAGCAGGCUCACGCUUGAAUACAUUAGCAUGGAAUAAUGAAAUAGGACGUUUGACCCUAUUUUGUUGGUUUCUAGGAUCGACGUAAUGAUUAAUAGGGAUAGUUGGGGGCAUUAGUAUUCAAUUGUCAGAGGUGAAAUUCUUGGAUUUAUUGAAGACUAACUACUGCGAAAGCAUUUGCCAAGGAUGUUUUCAUUAAUCAAGAACGAAAGUUAGGGGAUCGAAGACGAUCAGAUACUGUCGUAGUCUUAACCAUAAACUAUGCCGACUAGGGAUCGGAUGAUGUUAAUUUUAUAAUGACUCAUUC